RNAcentral lists this ribosomal RNA (460 nucleotides) under uncultured bacterium. RNAcentral describes it as "bacterial SSU rRNA". It matches the Rfam family "Bacterial small subunit ribosomal RNA", at positions 29 to 477 of the family's 1533-position model. The record is from RNAcentral.
AGUGAACGCUGGCGGCAGGCCUAACACAUGCAAGUCGAACGGCAGCACAGAGGAGCUUGCUCCUUGGGUGGCGAGUGGCGGACGGGUGAGGAAUACAUCGGAAUCUACCUUGUCGUGGGGGAUAACGUAGGGAAACUUACGCUAAUACCGCAUACGACCUACGGGUGAAAGCGGAGGACCGCAAGGCUUCGCGCGAUAAGAUGAGCCGAUGUCGGAUUAGCUAGUUGGCGGGGUAAUGGCCCACCAAGGCGACGAUCCGUAGCUGGUCUGAGAGGAUGAUCAGCCACACUGGAACUGAGACACGGUCCAGACUCCUACGGGAGGCAGCAGUGGGGAAUAUUGGACAAUGGGCGCAAGCCUGAUCCAGCCAUGCCGCGUGUGUGAAGAAGGCCUUCGGGUUGUAAAGCACUUUUGUCCGGAAAGAAAAGCUUCGGGUUAAUACCCUGAGGUCAUGACGGUA